UGGGGAAUCUUGGACAAUGGGGGCAACCCUGAUCCAGCAAUGCCGCGUGUGGGAUGAAGGCCUUCGGGUUGUAAACCACUUUUGGCGGGGGCGAAAUAUCGAGUGCUAAUACCAUUCGGUGAUGACGGUACCCGCAGAAUAAGCACCGGCUAACUACGUGCCAGCAGCCGCGGUAAUACGUAGGGUGCAAGCGUUAAUCGGAAUUACUGGGCGUAAAGCGUGCGCAGGCGGUUAGGUAAGACAGGUGUGAAAUUCCCGGGCUCAACCUGGGAACUGCAUUUGUGACUGCCUGACUAGAGUGCGGCAGAGGGGAGUGGAAUUCCGCGUGUAGCAGUGAAAUGCGUAGAUAUGCGGAGGAACACCGAUGGCGAAGGCAACUCCCUGGGCCUGCACUGACGCUCAUGCACGAAAAGCGUGGGGAGCAAAACAGGAUUAGAUACCCUGGUAGUCCACGCCCUAAAACGAUGUCGACUAGUUGUUGGACGGGUUACUGUUCAGUAACGAAGCUAACGCGUGAAGUCGACCGCCUGGGGAGUACGGCCGCAAGGUUAAAACUCAAAUGAAUUGACGGGGGUCAUAGGC
This 582-nucleotide ribosomal RNA is filed under the name uncultured bacterium. RNAcentral's name for it is "partial 16S ribosomal RNA". It matches the Rfam family "Bacterial small subunit ribosomal RNA", at positions 355 to 930 of the family's 1533-position model. The record is from RNAcentral.